GUGUGUGUCAUAUAAAUUCUCAGUGGUGCUUUUCUAAGAGGUUAACGUAACCAGUGAGAUGUAGAUUUUUUUUGAGCAUUUGCUAACUUCAGGUAACGUUAAUGUGAAAACUUUAACAAAUCUGUUUGAUAUAAAGUCUGCUUUGUAUAGUUAGCCUAAUUUAUUACCUUAGGGCGACCAAAUACGUUUUCCUUGAAAUUAUUAAAUAUGCUAUUUAUAUAUAUGUGUCUAUAUUUAUGUCGGCCGGCAAAUCUUGUGUGUAUUUUGGCACAGGGUGCACAAAGGCACCUUAUCAGUGCGGUGACACUUGAACAAAUGAACUGAUCAUGCGCGACACUGACCAAUAAACAAACGAGUUGUUUUAUUGCGUCUAUGACUUGAAUCUUAUCAUCAGUUGUAGUGAUGGGAAGUUCGGAUCAUUUUACCGAAUCGGACUUUUGAGUCUCGUUCAGCAAAAUGAACGAAUCUUUUUUCGAGUCAUUUCAAAUGAACGAACAACCAGAAGGUUCAGGAAGAAAAAAACAAAGUGCUUGCAGUCUGUUUCACAUUAGGAGGCAUUUUGCUGCAUAAUCGAUCCACCACAAACCAUAUGCAACUAUGGAAGCUCAACUUCCAUUAAAUGGACUGAAAACGCUCAAGUAACGUUAUAGGUCUCAAAACGCUUGCUCUGCGCCAGUGGAUACACACCAUAGACAGUAAAAGAAAUAUGUGCAUGUCACAGACUGUCUGGGCAUGCACUUCCGCGUUUCAGAGAUCCGCCUUUUACUUUCCGUCAACAUUACAUUAAUUAACGUUUAGAAAAUUUAUUUUUGACAUUUGUGAAUCAGUUCAGAAUCGUCUGCUUAUGCAUUGUGAUACAUUUAAGAAUCACAUUUUUAUCCCACCCCUACUAAAUAUAGAGACACUUUGACAAGUGGGCACUGGAUGCUGAGUAUUGAAGGCGAGGUGGUGUGUGAGGGCACUCAGCCCAGUUUCCUGUCCGGCCUUGCCACUCUGUUUGCUGCUUAUUACUAGUUUAAUCUUGAGUAUCAGGAGGAAGCAGUGUGUACCUUGGAGUUCAUUCAAAGGUGCUUUGUGGGCAUAAAUCCAGAGAGAGGACCCAAAGCCAAGGGAAAAGUGCCAUCGAAAUAAAAACAGGACAAGUGAUACAGAAGAAAAUGUGUGGCAGUCAACCCACAUGUUGCCACUCUUCUGUGCAAAUUCCAAUGGAAUUUCUGAAAUUCACACUUUGAAUCCUGGGAUGGAACUUCAUCUGGAGCAUAAUUGUUAUUUGGUUGAUUUUUAUCUGUUUGAUGGAAAGUUUGUAUGACUUCUGCAAGUGCGCGGCUCCUUCCGGUCAGUCAUGCAUCACUUUUUUUUGUAUGACUUGUUUGGCAAUAUUGGUCUAUUCCUUAAUGAUGAUAGCUAUCUGAAAAUGUCUUUGUGGUUUUUAAAGGAUUAGUUCACCCAAAAAUGAAAAUUAAGUCAAUAAUUACUUAUGUCGUUUCACACCCGUAAGAUCUUCGUUCAUCCUCACAACACAUAAUAAGAUGUGGCUCAGUGAAGCGUGCAUUUCUAGCAAGAUCAUUUCUUUUUUUCAAUGCCCAGAAAGCCUCUAAAACAUUUAAAACAAUUCAUGUGACUACAG
This is a long non-coding RNA of Carassius gibelio (silver crucian carp), 1627 nucleotides long. RefSeq lists it as uncharacterized. The record is from RefSeq and is a predicted model, not a curated record. Lineage: Eukaryota; Metazoa; Chordata; Actinopteri; Cypriniformes; Cyprinidae. The transcript has 4 exons.